UAAUACGAAGGGGGCUAGCGUUGCUCGGAAUCACUGGGCGUAAAGGGCGCGUAGGCGGACUUUUAAGUCGGAGGUGAAAGCCCAGGGCUCAACCCUGGAAUUGCCUUCGAUACUGGGAGUCUUGAGUUCGGAAGAGGUUGGUGGAACUGCGAGUGUAGAGGUGAAAUUCGUAGAUAUUCGCAAGAACACCAGUGGCGAAGGCGGCCAACUGGUCCGAUACUGACGCUGAGGCGCGAAAGCGUGGGGAGCAAACAG
This 255-nucleotide ribosomal RNA is filed under the name uncultured prokaryote. RNAcentral describes it as "partial 16S ribosomal RNA". It matches the Rfam family "Bacterial small subunit ribosomal RNA", at positions 521 to 775 of the family's 1533-position model. The record is from RNAcentral.